GAUGAACGCUGGCGGCGUGCCUAAUACAUGCAAGUCGAGCGAACAGACGAGGAGCUUGCUCCUCUGACGUUAGCGGCGGACGGGUGAGUAACACGUGGAUAACCUACCUAUAAGACUGGGAUAACUUCGGGAAACCGGAGCUAAUACCAGAUAAUAUAUUGAAUCGCAUGGUUCAAUAGUGAAAGACGGUUUUGCUGUCACUUAUAGAUGGAUCCGCGCCGCAUUAGCUAGUUGGUAAGGUAACGGCUUACCAAGGCAACGAUGCGUAGCCGACCUGAGAGGGUGAUCGGCCACACUGGAACUGAGACACGGUCCAGACUCCUACGGGAGGCAGCAGUAGGGAAUCUUCCGCAAUGGGCGAAAGCUUGACGGAGCAACGCCGCGUGAGUGAUGAAGGUCUUCGGAUCGUAAAACUCUGUUAUUAGGGAAGAACAAAUGUGUAAGUAACUAUGCACGUCUUGACGGUACCUAAUCAGAAAGCCACGGCUAACUACGUG
RNAcentral lists this ribosomal RNA (497 nucleotides) under uncultured bacterium. RNAcentral's name for it is "partial 16S ribosomal RNA". It matches the Rfam family "Bacterial small subunit ribosomal RNA", at positions 28 to 507 of the family's 1533-position model. The record is from RNAcentral.